RNAcentral lists this ribosomal RNA (742 nucleotides) under uncultured bacterium. RNAcentral describes it as "bacterial SSU rRNA". It matches the Rfam family "Bacterial small subunit ribosomal RNA", at positions 140 to 883 of the family's 1533-position model. The record is from RNAcentral.
UGGACAGCCUUCUGAAAGGAAGAUUAAUACAAGAUGGCAUCAUGAGUCCGCAUGUUCACAUGAUUAAAGGUAUUCCGGUAGACGAUGGGGAUGCGUUCCAUUAGAUAGUAGGCGGGGUAACGGCCCACCUAGUCUUCGAUGGAUAGGGGUUCUGAGAGGAAGGUCCCCCACAUUGGAACUGAGACACGGUCCAAACUCCUACGGGAGGCAGCAGUGAGGAAUAUUGGUCAAUGGGCGAGAGUCUGAACCAGCCAAGUAGCGUGAAGGAUGACUGCCCUAUGGGUUGUAAACUUCUUUUAUAAAGGAAUAAAGUCGGGUAUGCAUACCCGUUUGCAUGUACUUUAUGAAUAAGGAUCGGCUAACUCCGUGCCAGCAGCCGCGGUAAUACGGAGGAUCCGAGCGUUAUCCGGAUUUAUUGGGUUUAAAGGGAGCGUAGAUGGAUGUUUAAGUCAGUUGUGAAAGUUUGCGGCUCAACCGUAAAAUUGCAGUUGAUACUGGAUAUCUUGAGUGCAGUUGAGGCAGGCGGAAUUCGUGGUGUAGCGGUGAAAUGCUUAGAUAUCACGAAGAACUCCGAUUGCGAAGGCAGCCUGCUAAGCUGCAACUGACAUUGAGGCUCGAAAGUGUGGGUAUCAAACAGGAUUAGAUACCCUGGUAGUCCACACGGUAAACGAUGAAUACUCGCUGUUUGCGAUAUACAGCAAGCGGCCAAGCGAAAGCGUUAAGUAUUCCACCUGGGGAGUAC